This 493-nucleotide ribosomal RNA is filed under the name uncultured bacterium. RNAcentral describes it as "bacterial SSU rRNA". It matches the Rfam family "Bacterial small subunit ribosomal RNA", at positions 29 to 524 of the family's 1533-position model. The record is from RNAcentral.
AUUGAACGCUGGCGGCAUGCCUAACACAUGCAAGUCGAACGGGGGUAGCGAUACCCUAGUGGCGGACGGGUGAGGAACGCGUAGGAAUUGGCCCACGAGUGGGGGACAACCUGGGGAAACCCAGGCUAAUACCGCAUACGCUCGCGAGAGGAAAGCGGGGGAUCUACGGACCUCGCGCUGGUGGACAAGCCUACGUCCGAUUAGCUAGUUGGCAGGGUAAAAGCCUACCAAGGCGACGAUCGGUAGCUGGUCUGAGAGGAUGAUCAGCCACACUGGGACUGAGACACGGCCCAGACUCCUACGGGAGGCAGCAGUGGGGGAAUAUUGGACAAUGGGCGCAAGCCUGAUCCAGCAAUGCCGCGUGGGUGAAGACGGCCUGCGGGUUGUAAAGCCCUUUAAGCGGGGAGGAACGCCGGAACGCGAAUACCGUUUCGGACUGACGUUACCCGCAGAAUAAGCACCGGCUAAACUCCGUGCCAGCAGCCGCGGUAAU